GAUGAACGCUGGCGGCGUGCCUAAUACAUGCAAGUAGAACGCUGAAGCUUGGUGCUUGCGCCGAGCGGAUGAGUUGCGAACGGGUGAGUAACGCGUAGGUAACCUGCCUCUUAGCGGGGGAUAACUAUUGGAAACGAUAUCUAAUACCGCAUAAAAGUCGAUAUCGCAUGAUAUUGAUUUGAAAGGUGCAAAUGCAUCACUAAGAGAUGGACCUGCGUUGUAUUAGCUAGUUGGUGAGGUAACGGCUCACCAAGGCGACGAUACAUAGCCGACCUGAGAGGGUGAUCGGCCAAAAUGGGACCGGGAAACGGCCCCGACCCCUACGGGAGGCAGCCGUAGGGAAUCUUCGGAAAUGGGGGCAAAGCUGGACGAGCCAAGCCGCGUGAGUGAAGAAGGUUUUCGGAUUGUAAAGCUCCGUUGUAAGAGAAGAACGAGUGUGAGAGUGGAAAGUUCACACUGUGACGGUAACUUACCAGAAAGCGACGGCUAACUACGUG
RNAcentral lists this ribosomal RNA (497 nucleotides) under uncultured bacterium. RNAcentral's name for it is "partial 16S ribosomal RNA". It matches the Rfam family "Bacterial small subunit ribosomal RNA", at positions 28 to 507 of the family's 1533-position model. The record is from RNAcentral.